RNAcentral lists this ribosomal RNA (490 nucleotides) under uncultured bacterium. RNAcentral's name for it is "partial 16S ribosomal RNA". It matches the Rfam family "Bacterial small subunit ribosomal RNA", at positions 30 to 507 of the family's 1533-position model. The record is from RNAcentral.
AUUGAACGCUGGCGGCAGGCCUAACACAUGCAAGUCGAACGGUAACAGGAAGCAGCUUGCUGCUUCGCUGACGAGUGGCGGACGGGUGAGUAAUGUCUGGGAAGCUGCCUGAUGGAGGGGGAUAACUACUGGAAACGGUAGCUAAUACCGCAUAAUGUCGCAAGACCAAAGAGGGGGACCUUCGGGCCUCUUGCCAUCGGAUGUGCCCAGAUGGGAUUAGCUUGUUGGUGGGGUAACGGCUCACCAAGGCGACGAUCCCUAGCUGGUCUGAGAGGAUGACCAGCCACACUGGGACUGAGACACGGUCCAGACUCCUACGGGAGGCAGCAGUGGGGAAUAUUGCACAAUGGGCGCAAGCCUGAUGCAGCCAUGCCGCGUGUAUGAAGAAGGCCUUCGGGUUGUAAAGUACUUUCAGAGGGGAGGAGGGGAGUAAAGUUAAUACCUUUGCUCAUUGACGUUACCCGCAGAAGAAGCACCGGCUAACUCCGUG